GACGAACGCUGGCGGCGUGCUUAACACAUGCAAGUCGAACGAUGAAGCCGGAGCUUGCUCCGGUGGAUUAGUGGCGAACGGGUGAGUAACACGUGAGCAAUCUGCCCUUGACUCUGGGAUAACUGCGGGAAACUGUAGCUGAUACCGGAUACGACACCUUGGGGCAUCCCAGGGUGUGGAAAGAAUUUCGGUCAAGGAUGAGCUCGCGGCCUAUCAGCUAGUUGGUGAGGUAAUGGCUCACCAAGGCGACGACGGGUAGCCGGCCUGAGAGGGUGACCGGCCACACUGGAACUGAGACACGGUCCAGACUCCUACGGGAGGCAGCAGUGGGGAAUAUUGCACAAUGGGCGAAAGCCUGAUGCAGCAACGCCGCGUGAGGGAUGAAGGCCUUCGGGUUGUAAACCUCUUUUAGCAGGGAAGAAGCGAAAGUGACGGUACCUGCAGAAAAAGCACCGGCUAACUACGUGCCAGCCGCCGCCGUAA
RNAcentral lists this ribosomal RNA (483 nucleotides) under uncultured bacterium. RNAcentral describes it as "partial 16S ribosomal RNA". It matches the Rfam family "Bacterial small subunit ribosomal RNA", at positions 28 to 523 of the family's 1533-position model. The record is from RNAcentral.